Molecule: non-coding RNA, 75 nt
Organism: Ameiurus melas (black bullhead)
Lineage: Eukaryota; Metazoa; Chordata; Actinopteri; Siluriformes; Ictaluridae
Source: the annotation of a GenBank genome assembly
GGCAGUGGUGGCUCAAUGGUAAAAGGCUCUGUGUUGCUGAUCAGAAAGUCAUGAGUUCAAGCCACAGCACUGCCA